Non-coding RNA from Acanthosepion pharaonis, 112 nucleotides. The record is from the annotation of a GenBank genome assembly. Lineage: Eukaryota; Metazoa; Mollusca; Cephalopoda; Sepiida; Sepiidae.
ACGACCAGAUCACGUUUAAACACCGGUUAACGUCCGAUCACCGAAGUUAAGCAACGUUGAACCUGGUCAGUGUUUAGAUUGGUGAGCUUUCGGCAAUAACAGGCGCUGUCAG